This 7831-nucleotide long non-coding RNA is filed under the name Zea mays. RNAcentral describes it as "long non-coding RNA (ZMAY_LNC005807)". Lineage: Eukaryota; Viridiplantae; Streptophyta; Magnoliopsida; Poales; Poaceae. The record is from RNAcentral.
GGUCAUUCAUGGCUAUUUUCGACAAAAUGGGGGUUGUGUGGCCAUUGAUCAUCGACCAGAGGCUCAUACACCUCACCCCACAUAUGUUUCCUUGCCAUAGAUCACAUUCUUGGAUUUCUGGUGGAGACCAUUUCUUGGUCAAAAAUCCGUAGGUGUUAGCCUUCGGUAUUAUUGAAAAUGGUCGUUCAUGGCUAUUUUCGACAAAAAUGGGGGUUGUGUGGCCAUUGAUCAUCGACCAGAGGCUCAUACACCUCACCCCACAUAUGUUUCCUUGCCAUAGAUCACAUUCUUGGAUUUCUGGUGGAGACCAUUUCUUGGUCAAAAAUCCGUAGGUGUUAGCCUUCGUAUUAUUGAAAAUGGUCGUUCAUGGCUAUUUUCGACAAAAAUGGGGGUUGUGUGGCCAUUGAUCAUCGACCAGAGGCUCAUACACCUCACCCCACAUAUGUUUCCUUGCCAUAGAUCACAUUCUUGGAUUUCUGGUGGAGACCAUUUCUUGGUCAAAAAUCCGUAGGUGUUAGCCUUCGUAUUAUUGAAAAUGGUCGUUCAUGGCUAUUUUCGACAAAAAUGGGGGUUGUGUGGCCAUUGAUCAUCGACCAGAGGCUCAUACACCUCACCCCACAUAUGUUUCCUUGCCAUAGAUCACAUUCUUGGAUUUCUGGUGGAGACCAUUUCUUGGUCAAAAAUCCGUAGGUGUUAGCCUUCGUAUUAUUGAAAAUGGUCGUUCAUGGCUAUUUUCGACAAAAAUGGGGGUUGUGUGGCCAUUGAUCAUCGACCAGAGGCUCAUACACCUCACCCCACAUAUGUUUCCUUGCCAUAGAUCACAUUCUUGGAUUUCUGGUGGAGACCAUUUCUUGGUCAAAAAUCCGUAGUGUUAGCCUUCGGUAUUAUUGAAAAUGGUCGUUCAUGGCUAUUUUCGACAAAAUGGGGGUUGUGUGGCCAUUGAUCAUCGACCAGAGGCUCAUACACCUCACCCCACAUAUGUUUCCUUGCCAUAGAUCACAUUCUUGGAUUUCUGGUGGAGACCAUUUCUUGGUCAAAAAUCCGUAGGUGUUAGCCUUCGUAUUAUUGAAAAUGGUCGUUCAUGGCUAUUUUCGACAAAAAUGGGGGUUGUGUGGCCAUUGAUCAUCGACCAGAGGCUCAUACACCUCACCCCACAUAUGUUUCCUUGCCAUAGAUCACAUUCUUGGAUUUCUGGUGGAGACCAUUUCUUGGUCAAAAAUCCGUAGGUGUUAGCCUUCGUAUUAUUGAAAAUGGUCGUUCAUGGCUAUUUUCGACAAAAAUGGGGGUUGUGUGGCCAUUGAUCAUCGACCAGAGGCUCAUACACCUCACCCCACAUAUGUUUCCUUGCCAUAGAUCACAUUCUUGGAUUUCUGGUGGAGACCAUUUCUUGGUCAAAAAUCCGUAGGUGUUAGCCUUCGGUAUUAUUGAAAAUGGUCGUUCAUGGCUAUUUUCGACAAAAAUGGGGGUUGUGUGGCCAUUGAUCAUCGACCAGAGGCUCAUACACCUCACCCCACAUAUGUUUCCUUGCCAUAGAUCACAUUCUUGGAUUUCUGGUGGAGACCAUUUCUUGGUCAAAAAUCCGUAGGUGUUAGCCUUCGUAUUAUUGAAAAUGGUCGUUCAUGGCUAUUUUCGACAAAAAUGGGGGUUGUGUGGCCAUUGAUCAUCGACCAGAGGCUCAUACACCUCACCCCACAUAUGUUUCCUUGCCAUAGAUCACAUUCUUGGAUUUCUGGUGGAGACCAUUUCUUGGUCAAAAAUCCGUAGGUGUUAGCCUUCGUAUUAUUGAAAAUGGUCGUUCAUGGCUAUUUUCGACAAAAAUGGGGGUUGUGUGGCCAUUGAUCAUCGACCAGAGGCUCAUACACCUCACCCCACAUAUGUUUCCUUGCCAUAGAUCACAUUCUUGGAUUUCUGGUGGAGACCAUUUCUUGGUCAAAAAUCCGUAGGUGUUAGCCUUCGUAUUAUUGAAAAUGGUCGUUCAUGGCUAUUUUCGACAAAAAUGGGGGUUGUGUGGCCAUUGAUCAUCGACCAGAGGCUCAUACACCUCACCCCACAUAUGUUUCCUUGCCAUAGAUCACAUUCUUGGAUUUCUGGUGGAGACCAUUUCUUGGUCAAAAAUCCGUAGGUGUUAGCCUUCGGUAUUAUUGAAAAUGGUCGUUCAUGGCUAUUUUCGACAAAAAUGGGGGUUGUGUGGCCAUUGAUCAUCGACCAGAGGCUCAUACACCUCACCCCACAUAUGUUUCCUUGCCAUAGAUCACAUUCUUGGAUUUCUGGUGGAGACCAUUUCUUGGUCAAAAAUCCGUAGGUGUUAGCCUUCGUAUUAUUGAAAAUGGUCGUUCAUGGCUAUUUUCGACAAAAAUGGGGGUUGUGUGGCCAUUGAUCAUCGACCAGAGGCUCAUACACCUCACCCCACAUAUGUUUCCUUGCCAUAGAUCACAUUCUUGGAUUUCUGGUGGAGACCAUUUCUUGGUCAAAAAUCCGUAGGUGUUAGCCUUCGUAUUAUUGAAAAUGGUCGUUCAUGGCUAUUUUCGACAAAAAUGGGGGUUGUGUGGCCAUUGAUCAUCGACCAGAGGCUCAUACACCUCACCCCACAUAUGUUUCCUUGCCAUAGAUCACAUUCUUGGAUUUCUGGUGGAGACCAUUUCUUGGUCAAAAAUCCGUAGGUGUUAGCCUUCGGUAUUAUUGAAAAUGGUCGUUCAUGGCUAUUUUCGACAAAAAUGGGGGUUGUGUGGCCAUUGAUCAUCGACCAGAGGCUCAUACACCUCACCCCACAUAUGUUUCCUUGCCAUAGAUCACAUUCUUGGAUUUCUGGUGGAGACCAUUUCUUGGUCAAAAAUCCGUAGGUGUUAGCCUUCGUAUUAUUGAAAAUGGUCGUUCAUGGCUAUUUUCGACAAAAAUGGGGGUUGUGUGGCCAUUGAUCAUCGACCAGAGGCUCAUACACCUCACCCCACAUAUGUUUCCUUGCCAUAGAUCACAUUCUUGGAUUUCUGGUGGAGACCAUUUCUUGGUCAAAAAUCCGUAGGUGUUAGCCUUCGGUAUUAUUGAAAAUGGUCGUUCAUGGCUAUUUUCGACAAAAAUGGGGGUUGUGUGGCCAUUGAUCAUCGACCAGAGGCUCAUACACCUCACCCCACAUAUGUUUCCUUGCCAUAGAUCACAUUCUUGGAUUUCUGGUGGAGACCAUUUCUUGGUCAAAAAUCCGUAGGUGUUAGCCUUCGUAUUAUUGAAAAUGGUCGUUCAUGGCUAUUUUCGACAAAAAUGGGGGUUGUGUGGCCAUUGAUCAUCGACCAGAGGCUCAUACACCUCACCCCACAUAUGUUUCCUUGCCAUAGAUCACAUUCUUGGAUUUCUGGUGGAGACCAUUUCUUGGUCAAAAAUCCGUAGGUGUUAGCCUUCGGUAUUAUUGAAAAUGGUCGUUCAUGGCUAUUUUCGACAAAAAUGGGGGUUGUGUGGCCAUUGAUCAUCGACCAGAGGCUCAUACACCUCACCCCACAUAUGUUUCCUUGCCAUAGAUCACAUUCUUGGAUUUCUGGUGGAGACCAUUUCUUGGUCAAAAAUCCGUAGGUGUUAGCCUUCGGUAUUAUUGAAAAUGGUCGUUCAUGGCUAUUUUCGACAAAAAUGGGGGUUGUGUGGCCAUUGAUCAUCGACCAGAGGCUCAUACACCUCACCCCACAUAUGUUUCCUUGCCAUAGAUCACAUUCUUGGAUUUCUGGUGGAGACCAUUUCUUGGUCAAAAAUCCGUAGGUGUUAGCCUUCGUAUUAUUGAAAAUGGUCGUUCAUGGCUAUUUUCGACAAAAAUGGGGGUUGUGUGGCCAUUGAUCAUCGACCAGAGGCUCAUACACCUCACCCCACAUAUGUUUCCUUGCCAUAGAUCACAUUCUUGGAUUUCUGGUGGAGACCAUUUCUUGGUCAAAAAUCCGUAGGUGUUAGCCUUCGGUAUUAUUGAAAAUGGUCGUUCAUGGCUAUUUUCGACAAAAAUGGGGGUUGUGUGGCCAUUGAUCAUCGACCAGAGGCUCAUACACCUCACCCCACAUAUGUUUCCUUGCCAUAGAUCACAUUCUUGGAUUUCUGGUGGAGACCAUUUCUUGGUCAAAAAUCCGUAGGUGUUAGCCUUCGUAUUAUUGAAAAUGGUCGUUCAUGGCUAUUUUCGACAAAAAUGGGGGUUGUGUGGCCAUUGAUCAUCGACCAGAGGCUCAUACACCUCACCCCACAUAUGUUUCCUUGCCAUAGAUCACAUUCUUGGAUUUCUGGUGGAGACCAUUUCUUGGUCAAAAAUCCGUAGGUGUUAGCCUUCGGUAUUAUUGAAAAUGGUCGUUCAUGGCUAUUUUCGACAAAAAUGGGGGUUGUGUGGCCAUUGAUCAUCGACCAGAGGCUCAUACACCUCACCCCACAUAUGUUUCCUUGCCAUAGAUCACAUUCUUGGAUUUCUGGUGGAGACCAUUUCUUGGUCAAAAAUCCGUAGGUGUUAGCCUUCGUAUUAUUGAAAAUGGUCGUUCAUGGCUAUUUUCGACAAAAAUGGGGGUUGUGUGGCCAUUGAUCAUCGACCAGAGGCUCAUACACCUCACCCCACAUAUGUUUCCUUGCCAUAGAUCACAUUCUUGGAUUUCUGGUGGAGACCAUUUCUUGGUCAAAAAUCCGUAGGUGUUAGCCUUCGGUAUUAUUGAAAAUGGUCGUUCAUGGCUAUUUUCGACAAAAAUGGGGGUUGUGUGGCCAUUGAUCAUCGACCAGAGGCUCAUACACCUCACCCCACAUAUGUUUCCUUGCCAUAGAUCACAUUCUUGGAUUUCUGGUGGAGACCAUUUCUUGGUCAAAAAUCCGUAGGUGUUAGCCUUCGGUAUUAUUGAAAAUGGUCGUUCAUGGCUAUUUUCGACAAAAAUGGGGGUUGUGUGGCCAUUGAUCAUCGACCAGAGGCUCAUACACCUCACCCCACAUAUGUUUCCUUGCCAUAGAUCACAUUCUUGGAUUUCUGGUGGAGACCAUUUCUUGGUCAAAAAUCCGUAGGUGUUAGCCUUCGGUAUUAUUGAAAAUGGUCGUUCAUGGCUAUUUUCGACAAAAAUGGGGGUUGUGUGGCCAUUGAUCAUCGACCAGAGGCUCAUACACCUCACCCCACAUAUGUUUCCUUGCCAUAGAUCACAUUCUUGGAUUUCUGGUGGAGACCAUUUCUUGGUCAAAAAUCCGUAGGUGUUAGCCUUCGUAUUAUUGAAAAUGGUCGUUCAUGGCUAUUUUCGACAAAAAUGGGGGUUGUGUGGCCAUUGAUCAUCGACCAGAGGCUCAUACACCUCACCCCACAUAUGUUUCCUUGCCAUAGAUCACAUUCUUGGAUUUCUGGUGGAGACCAUUUCUUGGUCAAAAAUCCGUAGGUGUUAGCCUUCGUAUUAUUGAAAAUGGUCGUUCAUGGCUAUUUUCGACAAAAAUGGGGGUUGUGUGGCCAUUGAUCAUCGACCAGAGGCUCAUACACCUCACCCCACAUAUGUUUCCUUGCCAUAGAUCACAUUCUUGGAUUUCUGGUGGAGACCAUUUCUUGGUCAAAAAUCCGUAGGUGUUAGCCUUCGUAUUAUUGAAAAUGGUCGUUCAUGGCUAUUUUCGACAAAAAUGGGGGUUGUGUGGCCAUUGAUCAUCGACCAGAGGCUCAUACACCUCACCCCACAUAUGUUUCCUUGCCAUAGAUCACAUUCUUGGAUUUCUGGUGGAGACCAUUUCUUGGUCAAAAAUCCGUAGGUGUUAGCCUUCGUAUUAUUGAAAAUGGUCGUUCAUGGCUAUUUUCGACAAAAAUGGGGGUUGUGUGGCCAUUGAUCAUCGACCAGAGGCUCAUACACCUCACCCCACAUAUGUUUCCUUGCCAUAGAUCACAUUCUUGGAUUUCUGGUGGAGACCAUUUCUUGGUCAAAAAUCCGUAGGUGUUAGCCUUCGGUAUUAUUGAAAAUGGUCGUUCAUGGCUAUUUUCGACAAAAAUGGGGGUUGUGUGGCCAUUGAUCAUCGACCAGAGGCUCAUACACCUCACCCCACAUAUGUUUCCUUGCCAUAGAUCACAUUCUUGGAUUUCUGGUGGAGACCAUUUCUUGGUCAAAAAUCCGUAGGUGUUAGCCUUCGUAUUAUUGAAAAUGGUCGUUCAUGGCUAUUUUCGACAAAAAUGGGGGUUGUGUGGCCAUUGAUCAUCGACCAGAGGCUCAUACACCUCACCCCACAUAUGUUUCCUUGCCAUAGAUCACAUUCUUGGAUUUCUGGUGGAGACCAUUUCUUGGUCAAAAAUCCGUAGGUGUUAGCCUUCGGUAUUAUUGAAAAUGGUCGUUCAUGGCUAUUUUCGACAAAAAUGGGGGUUGUGUGGCCAUUGAUCAUCGACCAGAGGCUCAUACACCUCACCCCACAUAUGUUUCCUUGCCAUAGAUCACAUUCUUGGAUUUCUGGUGGAGACCAUUUCUUGGUCAAAAAUCCGUAGGUGUUAGCCUUCGUAUUAUUGAAAAUGGUCGUUCAUGGCUAUUUUCGACAAAAAUGGGGGUUGUGUGGCCAUUGAUCAUCGACCAGAGGCUCAUACACCUCACCCCACAUAUGUUUCCUUGCCAUAGAUCACAUUCUUGGAUUUCUGGUGGAGACCAUUUCUUGGUCAAAAAUCCGUAGUGUUAGCCUUCGGUAUUAUUGAAAAUGGUCGUUCAUGGCUAUUUUCGACAAAAAUGGGGGUUGUGUGGCCAUUGAUCAUCGACCAGAGGCUCAUACACCUCACCCCACAUAUGUUUCCUUGCCAUAGAUCACAUUCUUGGAUUUCUGGUGGAGACCAUUUCUUGGUCAAAAAUCCGUAGUGUUAGCCUUCGGUAUUAUUGAAAAUGGUCGUUCAUGGCUAUUUUCGACAAAAAUGGGGGUUGUGUGGCCAUUGAUCAUCGACCAGAGGCUCAUACACCUCACCCCACAUAUGUUUCCUUGCCAUAGAUCACAUUCUUGGAUUUCUGGUGGAGACCAUUUCUUGGUCAAAAAUCCGUAGGUGUUAGCCUUCGUAUUAUUGAAAAUGGUCGUUCAUGGCUAUUUUCGACAAAAUGGGGGUUGUGUGGCCAUUGAUCAUCGACCAGAGGCUCAUACACCUCACCCCACAUAUGUUUCCUUGCCAUAGAUCACAUUCUUGGAUUUCUGGUGGAGACCAUUUCUUGGUCAAAAAUCCGUAGGUGUUAGCCUUCGGUAUUAUUGAAAAUGGUCGUUCAUGGCUAUUUUCGACAAAAAUGGGGGUUGUGUGGCCAUUGAUCAUCGACCAGAGGCUCAUACACCUCACCCCACAUAUGUUUCCUUGCCAUAGAUCACAUUCUUGGAUUUCUGGUGGAGACCAUUUCUUGGUCAAAAAUCCGUAGGUGUUAGCCUUCGGUAUUAUUGAAAAUGGUCGUUCAUGGCUAUUUUCGACAAAAAUGGGGGUUGUGUGGCCAUUGAUCAUCGACCAGAGGCUCAUACACCUCACCCCACAUAUGUUUCCUUGCCAUAGAUCACAUUCUUGGAUUUCUGGUGGAGACCAUUUCUUGGUCAAAAAUCCGUAGGUGUUAGCCUUCGUAUUAUUGAAAAUGGUCGUUCAUGGCUAUUUUCGACAAAAAUGGGGGUUGUGUGGCCAUUGAUCAUCGACUAGAGGCUCAUAAACCUCACCCCACAUAUGUUUCCUUGCCAUAGAUCACAUUCUUGGAUUUCUGGUGGAGACCAUUUCUUGGUUAAAAACUCGUACGUGUUAGCCUUCGGUAUUAUUGAAAAUGGUCAUUCAUGGCUAUUUUCGGCAAAAUGGGGGUUGUGUGGCCAUUGAUCAUCGACCAGAGGCUCAUACACCUCACCCCACAUAUGUUUCCUUGCCAUAGAUCACAUUCUUGGAUUUCUG